GACCCGCACGAAAGGUGUAACGAUCUGGGCACUGUCUCAACGAGAGACUCGGUGAAAUUAUAGUACCUGUGAAGAUGCAGGUUACCCGCGACAGGACGGAAAGACCCCGUGGAGCUUUACUGCAGCCUGAUAUUGAAUUUUGGUACAGCUUGUACAGGAUAGGUAGGAGCCUUGGAAGCCGGAGCGCUAGCUUCGGUGGAGGCAUUGGUGGGAUACUACCCUGGCUGUAUUGACAUUCUAACCCGCACCCCUUAUCGGGGUGGGAGACAGUGUCAGGUGGGCAGUUUGACUGGGGCGGUCGCCUCCUAAAAAGUAACGGAGGCGCCCAAAGGUUCCCUCAGAAUGGUUGGAAAUCAUUCGUAGAGUGUAAAGGCACAAGGGAGCUUGACUGCGAGACCUACAAGUCGAGCAGGGACGAAAGUCGGGCUUAGUGAUCCGGUGGUUCCGCAUGGAAGGGCCAUCGCUCAACGGAUAAAAGCUACCCCGGGGAUAACAGGCUUAUCUCCCCCAAGAGUCCACAUCGACGGGGAGGUUUGGCACCUCGAUGUCGGCUCAUCGCAUCCUGGGGCUGUAGUCGGUCCCAAGGGUUGGGCUGUUCGCCCAUUAAAGCGGUACGCGAGCUGGGUUCAGAACGUCGUGAGACAGUUCGGUCCCUAUCC
Molecule: ribosomal RNA, 659 nt
Filed under: Salmonella enterica
Lineage: Bacteria; Pseudomonadati; Pseudomonadota; Gammaproteobacteria; Enterobacterales; Enterobacteriaceae
Description: partial 23S ribosomal RNA
Rfam family: Bacterial large subunit ribosomal RNA
Source: RNAcentral